Molecule: ribosomal RNA, 497 nt
Filed under: uncultured bacterium
Lineage: Bacteria
Description: partial 16S ribosomal RNA
Rfam family: Bacterial small subunit ribosomal RNA
Source: RNAcentral
GAUGAACGCUGGCGGCGUGCCUAAUACAUGCAAGUCGAGCGAACGGACGAGAAGCUUGCUUCUCUGAUGUUAGCGGCGGACGGGUGAGUAACACGUGGAUAACCUACCUAUAAGACUGGGAUAACUUCGGGAAACCGGAGCUAAUACCGGAUGAUAUUUUGAACCGCAUGGUUCAAAAGUGAAAGACGGUCUUGCUGUCACUUAUAGAUGGAUCCGCGCUGCAUUAGCUAGUUGGUAAGGUAACGGCUUACCAAGGAAACGAUGCAUAGCCGACCUGAGAGGGUGAUAGACCACAGUGGCACGGCGACAGGGGCGAGCGCCCGAGGGGGGGCGCCGUGGGGAAUUCUCCCGAAAGGGGCAAAGGCCGGACGGGGCACCGCGGGGUGAGUGAUAAGGGUUUGGGGUUCUUAAAACUUUGUUAUAGGGAAAAAAAAUUUGUGUAAGUAACUGUCCACACCUGGCCGCCCCCUAAUAAAAAGCCCCCGGCUAACUAGGCC